This is a long non-coding RNA of Apus apus (common swift), 899 nucleotides long. RefSeq lists it as uncharacterized. The transcript has 3 exons. The record is from RefSeq and is a predicted model, not a curated record. Lineage: Eukaryota; Metazoa; Chordata; Aves; Apodiformes; Apodidae.
GGCGGGAUGGCUCACGGCCCCUCAUGGCCGGGCGGGAUCGUGGGACGGAGAACCGAUCCCCACCUCAUAACCCGGCUCCCUUCCAGCCUGCAGGCUUCGUGCGGAGGGCUGGCAGCGCAGGGCGCCGCUUCCAGCCGGCAAUUUUCAAAUACGCAGUCGUAGGGGCCUGCAGAUGCUGUCAUCGUGACCAAGGCCCCACGGGGAUACACAUUGUAACAACGUGCAGUAUUCCAGUCUCAUCCUGUUCCUGGGGAAGGGAAGCAGGCAGGGGAUGAGACAUCCAGAUAUUUACUGCUUCACAGCCCAACGGAGCGAGAUGUAAACUGCAACACAUCCCUCUUUAUUCCACAAGCAUCCCUGGCUCUGUUAUCCCCCUCUCCAGUCCCCCUGGAUGAAUAACCCUUUCCCCUCUCCAGGUGACUCCCAAAACUGCCCACCCAGCAGAUGCUUCCGCAGCACCAACUGUUCCAAACCCCCUCAUUUCAUCUCCGGCUUUUUGAUUUUUUUGAUUUUUUAAUUUUUCCCCCCUCUCCCUCCCCCGUGUCCUCCCAAUCUUUGCUGCCUGGCACAUGCUGCAAGCUGCAGUCCCACCGGAGUGAUAUUGUGAUGGAAAUGAGGGAGGGGGAUGCAGGCAGAACUGCACAGAUUUACAGCACUCCAAGGGUUUCCAUUAAAAUCCUUGACAACUUGUUAUUUAUGAGUCGACCAACAGCUCUUCUAAUAUCCAGGGCCUAGACCCCAUUCACUUCAAUAAUGCUGGGUUGGAAUAAAUGAGCCAGAGGAUGGAAACCAGUUCUGUUAGUAUAAUGGAGGAGGCUAAUAGGUGUUUAGAGAAAACAACUGAUGUAAUUCUGGGGCCCAAUCCCUUCCCCAACAAAACAAUAAAGGUUUGAGUCUUC